GACGAACGCUGGCGGCGUGCUUAACACAUGCAAGUCGAACGGAAAGGCCCUGCUUUUGUGGGGUGCUCGAGUGGCGAACGGGUGAGUAACACGUGAGUAACCUGCCCUUGACUUUGGGAUAACUUCAGGAAACUGGGGCUAAUACCGGAUAGGAGCUCCUGCUGCAUGGUGGGGGUUGGAAAGUUUCGGCGGUUGGGGAUGGACUCGCGGCUUAUCAGCUUGUUGGUGGGGUAGUGGCUUACCAAGGCUUUGACGGGUAGCCGGCCUGAGAGGGCGACCGGCCACAUUGGGACUGAGAUACGGCCCAGACUCCUACGGGAGGCAGCAGUGGGGAAUAUUGCACAAUGGGCGGAAGCCUGAUGCAGCAACGCCGCGUGCGGGAUGACGGCCUUCGGGUUGUAAACCGCUUUCGCCUGUGACGAAGCGUGAGUGACGGUAAUGGGUAAAGAAGCACCGGCUAACUACGUGCCAGCAGCCGCGGUGAUACGUAGGGUGCGAGCGUUGUCCGGAUUUAUUGGGCGUAAAGGGCUCGUAGGUGGUUGAUCGCGUCGGAAGUGUAAUCUUGGGGCUUAACCCUGAGCGUGCUUUCGAUACGGGUUGACUUGAGGAAGGUAGGGGAGAAUGGAAUUCCUGGUGGAGCGGUGGAAUGCGCAGAUAUCAGGAGGAACACCAGUGGCGAAGGCGGUUCUCUGGGCCUUUCCUGACGCUGAGGAGCGAAAGCGUGGGGAGCGAACAGGCUUAGAUACCCUGGUAGUCCACGCUGUAAACGGUGGGUACUAGGUGUGGGGUCCAUUCCACGGGUUCCGUGCCGUAGCUAACGCUUUAAGUACCCCGCCUGGGGAGUACGGCCGCAAGGCUAAAACUCAAAGGAAUUGACGGGGCCCCGCACAAGCGGCGGAGCGUGCGGAUUAAUUCGAUGCAACGCGUAGAACCUUACCUGGGUUUGACAUGGAUCGGGAGUGCCCAGAGAUGGGUGUGCCUCUUUUGGGGUCGGUUCACAGGUGGUGCACGGCUGUCGUCAGCUCGUGUCGUGAGAUGUUGGGUUAAGUCCCGCAACGAGCGCAACCCUUGUUCACUGUUGCCAGCACGUUAUGGUGGGGACUCAGUGGAGACCGCCGGGGUCAACUCGGAGGAAGGUGGGGAUGACGUCAAGUCAUCAUGCCCCUUAUGUCCAGGGCUUCACGCAUGCUACAAUGGCUGGUACAGAGAGUGGCGAGCCUGUGAGGGUGAGCGAAUCCCGGAAAGCCGGUCUCAGUUCGGAUUGGGGUCUGCAACUCGACCUCAUGAAGUCGGAGUCGCUAGUAAUCGCAGAUCAGCAACGCUGCGGUGAAUACGUUCCCGGGGCU
Molecule: ribosomal RNA, 1346 nt
Filed under: uncultured bacterium
Lineage: Bacteria
Description: bacterial SSU rRNA
Rfam family: Bacterial small subunit ribosomal RNA
Source: RNAcentral